UUGCAAUCACAAUUCUUAUUUACAAAUUGUAAAUGACUCAAUUCAAUGGUAAAAGAUGCCAAUUAUUCAAUUCAGACUAGAUAAAGAAAGACAAUUGAAGUUUCACUUUCUUUUGAUCAUCUUAUAAUACAAUUGAUAAACUCAUAUCGAAAACAAAUUAUCAUCAUUUACAAAAGUCUGCAAGGUUUCAAAAUUUUCAAACAUUAGCCAGUUGUUUUUUAAACAUACCUAUAUCCAGUUGAGAACUCACAUCAUGAUUUUGAUAACCAAUCUUAAAAAACAUAUUAAAGUACGCUUCUUUUGUCUCAAAAUAGUAAUUGAAAAACAUAUAAAUUGGUCAUUGAGCAUUAGAUCAUUACCUCGAGUCGAAGCAAACUCAAUAAUGAAGGUUUUCUUGCUCUUAGCUUUUGUCGCCUGCGCCAGCGCUCAAUGGGCACCCAACUGCGGAAGAAGUCAGUACCCUGAUCCUGCUCCCGAACAGAAUACAGAUGAAUUCGGUAGAGUUGUUGGUGGCUGGGAAUCCAGACCAAAUGAAUUUCCUUAUCAAUUGAGUUUGAGAAGAUUUGGAAGUCACACUUGCGGAGCUGUCAUCAUCAACAGCCAAUGGGCUCUUUCUGCCGCUCAUUGUACUUCCUCUGGAUCUGCAAGUGGUUUGGCCGUUGUUGCUGGAGCUCAUCGUAGAAGCAGCCCAGCUGCUGCUGAACAAACUUCAAACCUUUUGAGUGUAACCAACCACGAAGACUACCAAAACCCCCUUCGUUACUCCAACGAUAUCACUCUUCUCAGAUUGGAAACCCCAUUGACCUUCAACGCUCAAGUCACUGGUGCCUGUGCCCCAAGAGAUGUCACCUAUGAUGAUGAUACCGUUACCAUUUCUGGAUGGGGAUCUACCUUCUCUGGUGGUUUCGUUACCGAUGAAUUGAGAUACACCAAUGUUCAAGUAUGGAGCAAUGAUGAAUGUUCUGGCCCAUACCCAGGAAGCAUCGAUGAUAGCAUGAUCUGUGCUGCUGCCCCAGGCAGAGAUACCUGUCAAGGAGAUUCUGGUGGCCCAAUGGCUUACAACAACAACGGUCAAUUCGAAGUUGUCGGUUUGACUUCAUGGGGAAGAGGAUGUGCUCUCGCCACCCAUCCAGGAGUUUACGCCAGAGUCAGUGCCAACCUCCAAUGGAUCGCUGAUAACACCCAAUAAACUAUUUUAAAUAAAGUGCCCAAUUCAUAAUAAUACUUGUUUCAAUAAACAAUUGCUAUAAAAAUAGAACAAAUAACCUAGGCCAAACUUUGCAAUCAUUUCUAAUUAUUUAUGACUUAUGUCAUACAUGCCUCUUUUUCUUUAAUACUUUUUAAAAAAGCUGAAUGGUUACCAUAAGUUUCUCUAACAGUUUAAAAGUACUAAAUUCUUAAAACGUUUAAUGGUUUAUUGAACCCUUUCCACUUUAUUCAACAACUAUUUUAUCUGUAUAAUGAUAGAGGAAACUUUUCAUGCUAUACUAUGUUUUUAGAAACUAUUUUUAGAGGGAGUCAGUACUAUUUUAAUUUUAAUACAUGACUAAAUAAUAAGAAUUUUAGGCCUGAUUUUCUUAUCUUAUCGUGCUAUUCGAUUUUUGAAUUUCCAAUAUGUUGAAAGAGAUUUUAAUACAAAAUUUAAUUGAGAUAAA
Molecule: unclassified non-coding RNA, 1655 nt
Filed under: Dimorphilus gyrociliatus
Lineage: Eukaryota; Metazoa; Annelida; Polychaeta; Dinophilidae
Description: peptidase S1 domain-containing protein
Source: RNAcentral